Molecule: ribosomal RNA, 402 nt
Filed under: Lactococcus lactis
Lineage: Bacteria; Bacillati; Bacillota; Bacilli; Lactobacillales; Streptococcaceae
Description: bacterial SSU rRNA
Rfam family: Bacterial small subunit ribosomal RNA
Source: RNAcentral
GACGAACGCUGGCGGCGUGCCUAAUACAUGCAAGUUGAGCGCUGAAGGUUGGUACUUGUACCAACUGGAUGAGCAGCGAACGGGUGAGUAACGCGUGGGGAAUCUGCCUUUGAGCGGGGGACAACAUUUGGAAACGAAUGCUAAUACCGCAUAAAAACUUUAAACACAAGUUUUAAGUUUGAAAGAUGCAAUUGCAUCACUCAAAGAUGAUCCCGCGUUGUAUUAGCUAGUUGGUGAGGUAAAGGCUCACCAAGGCGAUGAUACAUAGCCGACCUGAGAGGGUGAUCGGCCACAUUGGGGACUGAGACACGGGCCCCAAAACUCCCUACGGGGAGGGCAGCAGUAGGGAAUCUUUCGGGCAAAUGGGACGAAAAGUUCUGACCCGAGCAAACGCCCGCGUGA